GGUCACCAAAAUUACCCGGCAAUACAAUGGAGUUAAGGUCACUACUGAAGACGGUACGAACUACUUCGCCGACGCUUGCAUAAUCACAGUGCCACUCGGUGUGCUCAAGGCGAACAUAAUCAAGUUCGAGCCUGAACUGCCCCCAUGGAAGAGCUCUGCCAUCGCGGACCUCGGUGUUGGCAUUGAGAACAAGAUCGCCAUGCACUUCGACAGAGUCUUCUGGCCCAACGUCGAGGUGCUGGGAAUAAGUGGUCCGACGCCUAAAGCAUGUGGAUACUUCCUGAACCUCCACAAGG
Molecule: long non-coding RNA, 296 nt
Filed under: Setaria viridis
Lineage: Eukaryota; Viridiplantae; Streptophyta; Magnoliopsida; Poales; Poaceae
Description: long non-coding RNA (SVIR_LNC002520)
Source: RNAcentral